RNAcentral lists this ribosomal RNA (270 nucleotides) under uncultured archaeon. Its description in RNAcentral is "partial 16S ribosomal RNA". It matches the Rfam family "Archaeal small subunit ribosomal RNA", at positions 477 to 747 of the family's 1478-position model. The record is from RNAcentral.
CAGCACCUCAAGUGGUCAGGAUGAUUACUGGGCCUAAAACAUCCGUAGCCGGCGCUGUAAGUUUUCGGUUAAAUCUGUACGCUCAACGUACAGGCUGCCGGGAAUACUGCAGCGCUAGGGAGUGGGAGAGGUAGACGGUACUCGGUAGGAAGGGGUAAAAUCCUUUGAUCUAUUGAUGACCACCUGUGGCGAAGGCGGUCUACCAGAACACGUCCGACGGUGAGGGAUGAAAGCUGGGGGAGCAAACCGGAUUAGAUACCCGAGUAGUCC